UACGUAGGGGGCAAGCGUUGUCCGGAAUCACUGGGCGUAAAGGGUGCGUAGGCGGGUUUUUAAGUCAGGGGUGAAAUCCUGGAGCUCAACUCCAGAACUGCCUUUGAUACUGAAGAUCUUGAGUCCGGGAGAGGUGAGUGGAACUGCGAGUGUAGAGGUGAAAUUCGUAGAUAUUCGCAAGAACACCAGUGGCGAAGGCGGCUCACUGGCCCGGUACUGACGCUGAGGCACGAAAGCGUGGGGAGCAAACAGG
Molecule: ribosomal RNA, 253 nt
Filed under: uncultured bacterium
Lineage: Bacteria
Description: partial 16S ribosomal RNA
Rfam family: Bacterial small subunit ribosomal RNA
Source: RNAcentral